RNAcentral lists this ribosomal RNA (492 nucleotides) under uncultured bacterium. Its description in RNAcentral is "partial 16S ribosomal RNA". It matches the Rfam family "Bacterial small subunit ribosomal RNA", at positions 29 to 507 of the family's 1533-position model. The record is from RNAcentral.
AGUGAACGCUGGCGGUAGGCCUAACACAUGCAAGUCGAACGGCAGCACAGUAAGAGCUUGCUCUUACGGGUGGCGAGUGGCGGACGGGUGAGGAAUACAUCGGAAUCUACUUUUUCGUGGGGGAUAACGUAGGGAAACUUACGCUAAUACCGCAUACGACCUACGGGUGAAAGCAGGGGAUCUUCGGACCUUGCGCGAUUGAAUGAGCCGAUGUCGGAUUAGCUAGUUGGCGGGGUAAAGGCCCACCAAGGCGACGAUCCGUAGCUGGUCUGAGAGGAUGAUCAGCCACACUGGAACUGAGACACGGUCCAGACUCCUACGGGAGGCAGCAGUGGGGAAUAUUGGACAAUGGGCGCAAGCCUGAUCCAGCCAUACCGCGUGGGUGAAGAAGGCCUUCGGGUUGUAAAGCCCUUUUGUUGGGAAAGAAAAGCAGCAGAUUAAUACCCCGCUGUUCUGACGGUACCCAAAGAACAAGCACCGGCUAACUUCGUG